This 82-nucleotide ribosomal RNA is filed under the name Amomum sp. CD-2009. RNAcentral's name for it is "partial 5.8S ribosomal RNA". It matches the Rfam family "5.8S ribosomal RNA", at positions 1 to 80 of the family's 154-position model. Rfam says of the family: 5.8S ribosomal RNA (5.8S rRNA) is a component of the large subunit of the eukaryotic ribosome. It is transcribed by RNA polymerase I as part of the 45S precursor that also contains 18S and 28S rRNA. Functionally, it is thought that 5.8S rRNA may be involved in ribosome translocation. The record is from RNAcentral. Lineage: Eukaryota; Viridiplantae; Streptophyta; Magnoliopsida; Zingiberales; Zingiberaceae.
AUGACUCUCGGCAAUGGAUAUCUCGGCUCUUGCAUCGAUGAAGAACGUAGUGAAAUGCGAUACUUGGUGUGAAUUGCAGAAU